Molecule: ribosomal RNA, 353 nt
Filed under: Klebsiella pneumoniae
Lineage: Bacteria; Pseudomonadati; Pseudomonadota; Gammaproteobacteria; Enterobacterales; Enterobacteriaceae
Description: bacterial SSU rRNA
Rfam family: Bacterial small subunit ribosomal RNA
Source: RNAcentral
UGCCAGUGAUAAACUGGAGGAAGGUGGGGAUGACGUCAAGUCAUCAUGGCCCUUACGACCAGGGCUACACACGUGCUACAAUGGCAUAUACAAAGAGAAGCGACCUCGCGAGAGCAAGCGGACCUCAUAAAGUAUGUCGUAGUCCGGAUUGGAGUCUGCAACUCGACUCCAUGAAGUCGGAAUCGCUAGUAAUCGUAGAUCAGAAUGCUACGGUGAAUACGUUCCCGGGCCUUGUACACACCGCCCGUCACACCAUGGGAGUGGGUUGCAAAAGAAGUAGGUAGCUUAACCUUCGGGAGGGCGCUUACCACUUUGUGAUUCAUGACUGGGGUGAAGUCGUAACAAGGUAACCG